RNAcentral lists this ribosomal RNA (231 nucleotides) under uncultured soil bacterium. RNAcentral's name for it is "partial 16S ribosomal RNA". It matches the Rfam family "Bacterial small subunit ribosomal RNA", at positions 26 to 257 of the family's 1533-position model. The record is from RNAcentral.
AGAUUGAACGCUGGCGGCAGGCCUAACACAUGCAAGUCGAGCGGCAGCACGGGUACUUGUACCUGGUGGCGAGCGGCGGACGGGUGAGUAAUGCCUAGGAAUCUGCCUGAUAGUGGGGGAUAACGUUCGGAAACGGACGCUAAUACCGCAUACGUCCUACGGGAGAAAGUGGGGGAUCUUCGGACCUCACGCUAUCAGAUGAGCCUAGGUCGGAUUAGCUAGUUGGUAGGU